AGAGGGUGCGAGCGUUGUCCGGAAUCACUGGGCGUAAAGGGCGCGUAGGCGGCCUGGUAAGGUUGCGGUGAAAGCCCGGGGCUCAACCCCGGGUCGGCCGUGGCAACUGCUGGGCUGGAGCACUGUAGAGGCAGGUGGAAUUCCGGGUGUAGCGGUGGAAUGCGUAGAGAUCCGGAAGAACACCGGUGGCGAAGGCGGCCUGCUGGGCAGUGGCUGACGCUGAGGCGCGACAGCGUGGGGAGCAAACAGGAUUAGAUACCCUGGUAGUCCACGCCGUAAACGAUGGGCACUAGGUGCUUGGGGGAGCGACCCUCCGAGUGCCGGCGCUAACGCAUUAAGUGCCCCGCCUGGGGAGUACGGCCGCAAGGCUG
Molecule: ribosomal RNA, 371 nt
Filed under: uncultured bacterium
Lineage: Bacteria
Description: bacterial SSU rRNA
Rfam family: Bacterial small subunit ribosomal RNA
Source: RNAcentral